CCCUUAGAUGUUCUGGGCCGCACGCGUGCUACACUGAUGCAUUCAACGAGUCUAAAACCUGGUCUGAUAGGGCUGGGUAAUCUUUUGAAAGUGCAUCGUGAUUGGGAUAGAUGAUUGCAAUUCUUCAUCUUCAACGAGGAAUGCCUAGUAAACGCAAGUCAUCAGCUUGCAUUGAUUACGUCCCUGCCCUUUGUACACACCGCCCGUCGCUCCCACCGAUUGAAUGAUCCGAUGAAUACCAUGGAUUGAGAGUACGAAUAGGUUCGCUUAUUUCUGCUGCUCGAGAAGUGGAGUAAAUCUUAUCAUUUAGAGGAAGGAGAAGUCGUAACA
RNAcentral lists this ribosomal RNA (330 nucleotides) under uncultured eukaryote. RNAcentral's name for it is "partial 18S ribosomal RNA". It matches the Rfam family "Eukaryotic small subunit ribosomal RNA", at positions 1470 to 1796 of the family's 1831-position model. The record is from RNAcentral.